UACGAAGGGGGCUAGCGUUGUUCGGAAUUACUGGGCGUAAAGCGCGCGCAGGCGGUCUUCCAAGUCAGUGGUGAAAGCCCGGAGCUCAACUCCGGAACUGCCAUUGAAACUGUUGGACUUGAGUACGAGAGAGGUGAGUGGAAUUCCCAGUGUAGAGGUGAAAUUCGUAGAUAUUGGGAAGAACACCAGUGGCGAAGGCGGCUAUCUGGACCGGUACUGACGCUGAGGCGCGAAAGCGUGGGGAGCAAACAGG
Molecule: ribosomal RNA, 253 nt
Filed under: uncultured bacterium
Lineage: Bacteria
Description: partial 16S ribosomal RNA
Rfam family: Bacterial small subunit ribosomal RNA
Source: RNAcentral